CUGCAUGAGGAGAUCCUGUAGGCCUCCUGGAUAGAAUUGUGCCUUCAUAAUAAUGGGAAUGGGAGCAGUGUUUCAGCCUCAGUUUCUAGUUAUAAUUGUGACAUUAAAAAAUACUGCUGGAUUUCCAGGAUAAGUGCAGAUGCUCCAAGAGUUCUCACUGUGACAGCCCACCUAAUUCACACAAACCACAGGAUAUGAAUAGGCCUUCUGAAACAGACAACCAAAGCAUGAGAGAGAAAAGCAGCUCUCCAUCUCAGCAAGAUUCUACUGAGAACAAACUAAGUUAAAAGCAUCUUAAGAAGAAAACUCAGAUUAGAUACAAGAUUGAUCAAGUAGGCCAGAAAAUAUUCCCCUAAAAGGAAUUUCUCUGAAAACACCCAAAAUGCACAGCUAUUGUCAGCAUGAGAAACAUGAGCAUUAUGAAGAAAAAGGGCAUAUUCUCAGUAGAAUUUCAUAAGGUUUUUCUUUCAUGUCUGUUGCUCUUUUAUCUCCUAGCCAUCAAAUGGGGGAUCUAUUGUGAAAUACAUGUGACAACUUCCACUAGAGCUUUUUGA
RNAcentral lists this long non-coding RNA (554 nucleotides) under Homo sapiens (human). RNAcentral describes it as "non-protein coding lnc-ZNF708-11:1". Lineage: Eukaryota; Metazoa; Chordata; Mammalia; Primates; Hominidae. The record is from RNAcentral.